CGUUGAGCGUCCGUCUUCAAAGCCUCUUCAAACUCACUAGUUUCAGCAUCAAGGAAAGACAGGUUCAUAAGCUGACAUGACGGCUGAUUCUCAAAUCUUGUAAUGGAAGCAAUGUCAGCUUUAAACCAUAAAGUGAAGCCUGCAUUUAAUAACAGACAAUUCUCUUUGAACCCAAGACAGGAUUCUGCAAGAAAGUUCCAGGGGAUUAGGUGUUUUAUGAACUGCUCAAACCAAUCAAUCUAACCGCAGCAAUCAUGCCACAUUCAAAGUUGCUUAAAUUCAAAUCAAGCAUGAAAAUGAGGAAAUGGGAUUUCAGCAAGUCAUCUUCACAUUUAGAUUCGUAAGUGCAUUGUGUUGCUGCCAAGUGAUGUGCCUGAGUUGCUAUUGCUGUUAAGAAAUUGAACAGGAGUAACUAAUAAAGAAGCCGUUUACUGUAUAGUCAAGUUUGUAUUGGCCCUCACAUCUGCUGCACAUUUCAAAUCCUUCAGAUAUACUUCACACUUGGCUUUGCACUUUCAUAGUUCCAGUUUUACCACUUCUUAUACCUACCCUACAUUUUAAAUAUUGCCUCUUAAUUCUGACCUACUUCCAUUUUUCAGGACAUUAUCAAUUUAUUAUUGAUAAUUUGCUUUACCUGCCCAUUCAUACAACAGAAAUAGAAAAUCCUCGUCCUUUGGAACAUGUACU
Molecule: long non-coding RNA, 687 nt
Organism: Girardinichthys multiradiatus
Lineage: Eukaryota; Metazoa; Chordata; Actinopteri; Cyprinodontiformes; Goodeidae
Exons: 3
Source: RefSeq, a predicted model, not a curated record